UGCCACUGCGAUAUCACCUUGCAGCCCAAGACUGGUUACUCACUAAAGGUAAGCAGGGCUGAGCCUGGUCAGUAGCUGGAUGGGAGACCACAUGGGAAAACUAAGUUGCUGUUAGAA
Molecule: ribosomal RNA, 117 nt
Organism: Danio rerio (zebrafish)
Lineage: Eukaryota; Metazoa; Chordata; Actinopteri; Cypriniformes; Danionidae
Source: Ensembl